UUAUUUGAGAAGGUAACGGUUCACCCAAGGUUACGAGGUUUAGGGGCUUUGAGAGGAGAUUCCCCCAACAUUGGUACUGAGACACGGACCAGAUUCUUACGGGAGGCAGCAGUAAGGAAUAUUGGUCAAUGGAGGCAACUCUGAACCAGCCAUGCCGCGUGCAGGAUGACUGCCCUAUGGGUUGUAAACUGCUUUNGUCAGGGAAUAAACCUUUCUACGUGUAGAAAGCUGAAUGUACNUGAAGAAUAAGGAUCGGCUAACUCCGUGCCAGCAGCCGCGGUAAUACGGAGGAUCCAAGCGUUAUCCGGAUUUAUUGGGUUUAAAGGGUGCGUAGGCGGUCCUAUAAGUCAGUGGUGAAAGACGGCAGCUUAACUGUCGCAGUGCCUUUGAUACUGUAGGACUUGAAUCUAUUUGAAGUGGGCGGAAUAAGACAAGUAGCGGUGAAAUGCAUAGAUAUGUCUUAGAACUCCGAUUGCGAAGGCAGCUCACUAAGUUAGUAUUGACGCUGAUGCACGAAAGCGUGGGGAUCAAACAGGAUUAGAUACCCUGGUAGUCCACGCCCUAAACGAUGAUAACUCGAUGUUUGCGAUACACAGUAAGCGUCCAAGCGAAAGCGUUAAGUUAUCCACCUGGGGAGUACGGUCGCAAGAUUGAAACUCAAAGGAAUUGACGGGGGCCCGCACAAGCGGAGGAGCAUGUGGUUUAAUUCGAUGAUACGCGAGGAACCUUACCCGGGCUUGAAAGUUAGUGAAUGAUCCAGAGACGGAUCAGUCCUUCGGGACACGAAACUAGGUGCUGCAUGGCUGUCGUCAGCUCGUGCCGUGAGGUGUUGGGUUAAGUCCCGCAACGAGCGCAACCCCUAUGUUUAGUUGCCAGCAUGUAAUGAUGGGGACUCUAAACAGACUGCCAGCGUAAGCUGUGAGGAAGGUGGGGACGACGUCAAGUCAUCAUGGCCCUUACGUCCGGGGCUACACACGUGCUACAAUGGACGGUACAGCGGGCAGCUACAUAGCAAUAUGAUGCUAAUCUCUAAAAGCCGUUCACAGUUCGGAUUGAGGUCUGCAACUCGACCUCAGAAGUGGAUCGCUGAUCGU
Molecule: ribosomal RNA, 1094 nt
Filed under: Sphingobacterium faecium
Lineage: Bacteria; Pseudomonadati; Bacteroidota; Sphingobacteriia; Sphingobacteriales; Sphingobacteriaceae
Description: bacterial SSU rRNA
Rfam family: Bacterial small subunit ribosomal RNA
Source: RNAcentral